Molecule: long non-coding RNA, 1011 nt
Organism: Chenopodium quinoa (quinoa)
Lineage: Eukaryota; Viridiplantae; Streptophyta; Magnoliopsida; Caryophyllales; Amaranthaceae
Exons: 6
Source: RefSeq, a predicted model, not a curated record
UUCAAAAGUAAGCCAUAAUUUUUAAAUUCCCCUUUCUCACUCUCUCUGUCUAAAUAUUUCCCCUUUCUCUCUCCAAUAUUGAAGCUCAGCUCCGUCGCGACUCCCUCUUUCACUACCAAACUCCAGUGGUCCUCGCAAAUUCCCUUAACCCUCGCAAUUCCCUUCUCCCUCGCAAAUUCUCCAUUGAAGCGCAGCUCCGUUCUCACUUGAAGCGCAACUCCCUUCUCUCUCCAUUGAAGCGAAGAUCCGUUGAAGCAAAGUCGGUUGCUAGGGUUCAAAAAUCAAGGGCAAUCCGAUUAUUGCUAGGGUUCGUAAAUCCAGCGGUGCUCAGGUUUAUAUAAAGGCCACAGGAGAAAACAGUGCUGAGAUGGUAACUGACGAGGGAGCAAUUUACAAUACUUCAAAUGGGGGUUACAACUGGAAAGCUGCUGUGCAGGAGACUGUUUCAGCUACUCUUAACAGAACAAUCUCUAGUGGUAUCAGUGGUGCAAGUUACUACACAGGUACCUUCAAUACUGUGAAUCGCUCCCCAGAUGGUUGAUAUGUUGCUGUUUCGAGCCGUGGUAACUUUUAUCUGACUUGGGAACCUGGUCAGGGCUUAUAAAGUAUAUCGGCGAAUCUCACAGGGAGUGAAUUAAAAUUCAUACAAAUGGAGUGUGCUCAACAACAAGGAGGCGUUGAAUGUGGCUACUACAUUAUGAGAUACAUGUAUGAGAUUGUUAUUUCUCACUUGGAGUGCAAAGGUGUCAUAGAGGAGGAUUUUUGUCCAAGGAAAGCCUCGUAUGAUGUUGACGAGUUGAAUGUGAUUCGAGAACAGUGGGUGCAAUACUUUAGAACUAAAUAUUUAUUGAAUGCAUAACUAUUAGCUUUGGUAAAACAAAGUAAUAUUAUUAGUGUUGUUGUAUGUGUUGGAUAAAUUUAUACAAGUUUUUAUUUGUAGUGUUUUACUACUUAAAUUUUUAUAUUAUAUCGUAUUAAUUUUUAUGAAAGUUUGUUCGGUAUAAUUGUUUA